Vicugna pacos (alpaca) is the source of this 333-nucleotide non-coding RNA. Lineage: Eukaryota; Metazoa; Chordata; Mammalia; Artiodactyla; Camelidae. The record is from RefSeq and is a predicted model, not a curated record.
AAGGUAUCUUAAAUAUUGCUUCUCUUCAGAAUGGCCAUCUUAACUCUAGAAGAAUAUCAGAUCUGGAGUGUGAAAAAUGUUCUUGCCAAUGAGUUUUUGAAUCUACUUUUCCAGAACUUGACAAGCUGAUUCUAAAUACAUACAGAAGCUUGAAGAGCCAACAAUAGCCAAGCUGAUAUUAAAGAACAAUGUUAAAGAACUUAUUAUAAAACAAUAUUAAGUCUAUGUGAUAACUACCUAAAGUUAGACAUAUAGACCAAUGGAACAGUAUUGAAUUAAACCCUGUACCAUACAUGAACAGUAAUUUUAGAUAGAUUAUAAAUCUAAUAAAUU